GAUGAACGCUGGCGGCGUGCCUAAUACAUGCAAGUCGAGCGAACGGACGAGAAGCUUGCUUCUCUGAUGUUAGCGGCGGACGGGUGAGUAACACGUGGAUAACCUACCUAUAAGACUGGGAUAACUUCGGGAAACCGGAGCUAAUACCGGAUGAUAUUUUGAACCGCAUGGUUCAAAAGUGAAAGACGGUCUUGCUGUCACUUAUAGAUGGAUCCGCGCUGCAUUAGCUAGUUGGUAAGGUAACGGCUUACCAAGGCAACGAUGCAUAGCCGACCUGAGAGGGCCAUCCGCCACACUGGAACUUAGACCCCGUUCCGACUCCUACGGGAGGCAGCCGUAGGGAAUUUUCCGCAAUUGGCCAAAGCCUGACGGAGCAACCCCGCCUGAGUUAUUAAGGUCUUCGGAUCCGAAAACCCCUUUAUUUGGGAAGAACCUAUUUUUAAAUAACUGUUCACCUCUUUACGGUACCCAAUCAGAAAGCCCCGGCUAACUACGUG
Molecule: ribosomal RNA, 497 nt
Filed under: uncultured bacterium
Lineage: Bacteria
Description: partial 16S ribosomal RNA
Rfam family: Bacterial small subunit ribosomal RNA
Source: RNAcentral